UGAAUACGAGAUGCUACGGCGUCGAAGCAGUCUAUGUCAUACUUCCAAGAAAAGCUUGCACUGUCAUAAACAAAUAAUGCCUGUACCAUAACCGACACAGGUGGGUAGGUAGAGUAUACUAAGGGGCGCGAGAUAACUCUCUCUAAGGAACUCGGCAAAAUGACUCCGUAACUUCGGGAGAAGGAGUGCCUUAUUUAUAAGGUUGCAAUAACAAGAUCCAAGCAACUGUUUACCAAAAACACAGGUCUCCGCUAAGUCGUAAGACGAUGUAUGGGGGCUGACGCCUGCCCAGUGCCAGAAGGUUAAAGAAGUUGGUUAGCAUCCGCGAAGCUGAUAGCUGAAGCCCUGGUGAACGGCGGCCGUAACAAUAACGGUCCUAAGGUAGCGAAAUUCCUUGUCGGGUAAGUUCCGACCCGCACGAAAGGCGUAAUGAUUUGGAUACUGUCUCGGAGAGGGGCUCGGUGAAAUAGACUUGUCUGUGAAGAUGCGGACUACCUGCACCAGGACAGAAAGACCCUAUGAAGCUUUACUGUAACCUGAAAUUGAAAUUGGACUUUACUUGCGCAGUAUAGGUGGGAGGCGUUGAGAAUAUUCUUGCGGGAUUAUUGGAGGCAUCAGUGAGAUACCACUCUUGUAAUGUUAGAUUUCUAACUUUGUAUCAUUAUCUGGUCAAAGAACAGUUUCAGGCGGGCAGUUUGACUGGGGCGGUCGCCUCCUAAACGGUAACGGAGGCGCACAAAGGUUUCCUCUGAACGGGUAGAAAUCGUAUCUAGAGUGUAAAGGCAUAAGGAAGCUUGACUGUGAGACCUACAAGUCGAGCAGGGACGAAAGUCGGUCUUAGUGAUCUGACGGUGCUGAGUGGAAAGGCCGUCACUCAACGGAUAAAAGUUACUCUAGGAUAACAGGCUGAUCUCCCCCAAGAGUUCACAUCGACGGGGAGGUUUGGCACCUCGAUGUCGGCUCAUCGCAUCCUGGGGCGGUAGUACGUCCCAAGGGUUGGGCUGUUCGCCCAUGAAAGCGGUACGCGAGCUGGGUUCAGAACGUCGUGAGACAGUUCGGUCCAUAUCCGGUGUAGGCGUUAGAGUAUUGAGAGGAGCCUUCUUUAGUACGAGAGGACCGAGAAGGACAUACCUCUGGUGUACCAGUUAUCGUGCCAACGGUAAACGCUGGGUAGCUAUGUGUGGAGUGGAUAACCGCUGAAAGCAUCUAAGUGGGAAGCCCACCUCAAGAUAAGUAUUCC
This 1240-nucleotide ribosomal RNA is filed under the name metagenome. RNAcentral describes it as "bacterial LSU rRNA". It matches the Rfam family "Bacterial large subunit ribosomal RNA", at positions 1564 to 2814 of the family's 2925-position model. The record is from RNAcentral.